This 507-nucleotide ribosomal RNA is filed under the name uncultured Chloroflexota bacterium. Its description in RNAcentral is "bacterial SSU rRNA". It matches the Rfam family "Bacterial small subunit ribosomal RNA", at positions 373 to 896 of the family's 1533-position model. Lineage: Bacteria; Bacillati; Chloroflexota. The record is from RNAcentral.
GGGCGAAAGCCUGAAGCAGCAACGCCGCGUGUGUGAUGAAGGCCUUCGGGUCGUAAAGCACUUUUCUGGGAGAUGAGAAAGGACAGUAUCCCAGGAAUAAGUCUCGGCUAACUACGUGCCAGCAGCCGCGGUAAAACGUGGAGGCGAGCGUUAUCCGGAUUCACUGGGCGUAAAGCGCGUGCAGGUGGCGCGGUAAGUUGGGCGUGAAAGCUCCCGGCUCAACUGGGGGAGGUCGUCCAAUACUACCGUGCUUGAGAGCAGAAGAGGAAGAUGGAAUUCCCGGUGUAGUGGUGAAAUGCGUAGAUAUCGGGAGGAACACCAGUGGCGAAGGCGAUCUUCUGGUCUGUUUCUGACACUCAGACGCGACAGCUAGGGUAGUAAACGGGAUUAGAGACCCCGGUAAUCCUAGCCGUAAACGAUGUGAACUUGGCGUUGGUGGGUUAAACUCCAUCAGUGCCGUAGCAAACGCGAUAAGUUCACCGCCUGGGGACUACGGCCGCAAGGUUA